UUCUGGCUUGGAGCUUUUGGAAUGCUCUCCCAGAUGAUAUAAGAAGUAUUGAGGCUAGUGUGUGCUUCUGGACAAGGGUUAGGAACUUCCUGCUGGAGGGACUGUGGGGGUGACAGUUGGUGCUGCUUGUGGUGUGUGUGAGGUCAGACAGUGUGUUUUUGUUCAUUUUAAUUUCUCUUUUACAUUGUUAACCUUUUUCUUUAUCUUUCAUUAAGAAUUAUGUAUAUUAUUCAGUUUAACGGUUAUUUCAUGAAAAUUAAACAAUCUUGUUUACAUUUUAUUAUAAGGAAUAACAAGAGGCUUGCCUUUACCCCUUCCCCUUCUGACCAUCGCGUUCCUGUCCCAUUGUUUCAGAUGACACGACGCGGUGCCGAUGAAAGAGCCAACAUCGAUAUUCUUGUUUGUAUCCCACUUUCGCCUUUGUUGGUGUGAAUGUGAUUCUUGUACUCGUGACUUGUGCUCGGGACUUGCAUUCUGUGUAGUUACAACCCCUGGACUGGACUCUAAGCAGUUAUUGGUUAAUGGCACUAACAAAUAACAGAAUGAAGUGGUCAAGAGAAAAGUUAGAGAUGGAUGAAAUACAAGCUACAAAAAAGGAAGAGAAACAGACAAAAUCAGGAGAAAGCAGAAGAAGAAGUUGAGCUACACUUUUCACAAGGUGCAAAAAAAUCAUUACUAUUUUUCACGAAAGAAGGAAGAUUAGUGACAAAUUCUUUUAAAUGGUCAUCAACAAAUGAAGAAAUUCUCUCAGUUAGAGAAGAAUAUAUUGAAGCUACAAUGGUCUUCCUGGUGGAUUUGAAACCUUCUUGUGGAUUUUUGGCAAUAUGUAGAAUGUUGGUGUUUUUUGAAAUUUAUUUUAUUAGUAAAUUAAAGGCAUGAUC
Homalodisca vitripennis (glassy-winged sharpshooter) is the source of this 881-nucleotide long non-coding RNA. RefSeq lists it as uncharacterized. Lineage: Eukaryota; Metazoa; Arthropoda; Insecta; Hemiptera; Cicadellidae. The transcript has 3 exons. The record is from RefSeq and is a predicted model, not a curated record.